This 484-nucleotide ribosomal RNA is filed under the name uncultured bacterium. RNAcentral describes it as "partial 16S ribosomal RNA". It matches the Rfam family "Bacterial small subunit ribosomal RNA", at positions 30 to 507 of the family's 1533-position model. The record is from RNAcentral.
AUUGAACGCUGGCGGCAGGCCUAACACAUGCAAGUCGAGCGGAUGAAGGGAGCUUGCUCCUGGAUUCAGCGGCGGACGGGUGAGUAAUGCCUAGGAAUCUGCCUGGUAGUGGGGGAUAACGUCCGGAAACGGGCGCUAAUACCGCAUACGUCCUGAGGGAGAAAGUGGGGGAUCUUCGGACCUCACGCUAUCAGAUGAGCCUAGGUCGGAUUAGAUAGUUGGUGGGGUAAAGGCCUACUAAGGCGACGAUCCGUAACUGGUCUGAGAGGAUGAUCAGUCACACUGGAACUGAGACACGGUCCAGACUCCUACGGGAGGCAGCAGUGGGGAAUAUUGGACAAUGGGCGAAAGCCUGAUCCAGCCAUGCCGCGUGUGUGAAGAAGGUCUUCGGAUUGUAAAGCACUUUAAGUUGGGAGGAAGGGCAGUAAGUUAAUACCUUGCUGUUUCGACGUUACCAACAGAAUAAGCACCGGCUAACUUCGUG